AUAAGACUGUCCUAAGACCAAAUGAACCACCAUGAAGCUUUGAACCAAUUGGCUCCAAACCUUCAUUGUUUCAAGAAGCUUCAUUUGGCCAUCACUGCUCCCUUGGGAGACAGUCAACCUCUGCUGCCACCUCCUGUCAAUACUGUUGCUGUCCAACAUGCCUCCUAGGAUGAAUUGCAGCGCUACAGAUCUUCCUCCGGCCUCUGUUCGCCAGUCUCUAUAGACAAGUUUCCAAGAGCUGGAGUGGCAUCACUCCCUCAAAAAAGACAGUUUGGAAAUACCGCAUCCAUCUGCCAUCAUCACAACAUGGGAG
This is a long non-coding RNA of Corythoichthys intestinalis (scribbled pipefish), 313 nucleotides long. RefSeq lists it as uncharacterized. NCBI's taxonomy places the organism in Eukaryota, Metazoa, Chordata, Actinopteri, Syngnathiformes, Syngnathidae. The transcript has 3 exons. The record is from RefSeq and is a predicted model, not a curated record.